Molecule: long non-coding RNA, 2074 nt
Organism: Dermochelys coriacea (leatherback sea turtle)
Lineage: Eukaryota; Metazoa; Chordata; Testudines; Dermochelyidae
Exons: 5
Source: RefSeq, a predicted model, not a curated record
UCUGGGCUGGAGGCUGUAGGGGAAGGACUUGUCUAGGAAAUGCCUGUGGAGGGCCAGCUACUGCCCUCUGACUGCACUGGGAAUCAGAGCCUCCGUGGGCUUGCCUGAACUCCGGUGACUGGAGGAGCCAUCAGAGGUGACUAGCCAAGCUGACCACAGAGAACCUGAUGUUUCAUGGGAGACCCCAACACAGACACUGGUGCCAUCUGAGCUCUGAGGAACUUGGGUCUCUUCUUCCAGUAUCUCAUAUGAGCUCUGGGAAUUUGAACUCUCAUUUUCUCCUGGCCUUCUCCUUCUCAUUUUAACUAAGCAGUGGUGGUGUCUCUGUGCUAUCUGAAAUACAAACGGAUAUCCUGUGCCUUCAAAGACCAGACUUUGAGUUUGAAAUGUGCUGCAUACAAACUAUAUAAAUCCAGCAAAUUAUCAGCCUUUCUGCUCAGAAGGAAGGUUGAGGUGAACAGGGACUUGGCCAAAGGGGUAUCAUGAGUCAGAGAUGAAAAAGAACUGUACUUCAAAAAUAAUGUUUUGCUUACAUUGUUGAAUUAUGGUCAAGCAAAGAAAAAAGGGGACAGGGUCUUUGCCGAUGCUUCAUUGUGACAGGCUAUGGAAGCCUAUCCUGUCUGUGUAGGAACAUCUGGUAUUCUUGGCCUUAGCACUCCAGGUCUUAUACCAUAUCCUGCCCAGCACUGCUGAAGUAAACCAGGUGUAAGUGGUUUCCACAGGACAGCCAAAACCACAUCUUACUCUGAGAAAACGUGUCUUGAACAUAAAGGCUUCCUUCUCAAGGGCCAGAGCUCCCUUUUCCCAACUGGUAGUCAGCAGAAGUGUUUACAGAGGCUGGCGGCCCAAGGAGUUGAAUUCAGAAAUCAUGAAAGCUCCAUCCUUCACAAAAUAAACCUUCAAAGGAGAUUCAGAACCAUCAGCAACAAAACCCUUUCUAUUCUCAUCUAUGGCUGCCCCCUCCAUUCCAGCUUCAUGUUUAUUUAACAAUUUAAAAAAUAAAUCCCUUGCUUUGAGCUCAGGGGAUUGAUAUUUUUAAGGUGUGGGGGGAGGGGAUUUUCCAUGUACAUUUCCCAUAAUAUUUUAUUUUUCCUUUUGCUAUUUUACGUUAGCCCUUGUUGACAAUUACAGCCCUCACGCUUCCCCUAUUCUAGUUGACUGGUGGGUGAAGUGGGGAAAUGGUAAUGAUAAAAGCCAAACCUUCACCUUGUUUUACCAGCAUGGUCCUAUUGAUACUCAUAUUUGAAUAACUUUGUCAAAUAAGAUUUGGCCUGAAAUAGAUAUGUGGGCCACAUUUGCAAAUAUCCGCCCCUAUUUUGUUCCUGCAAAGUCUGCAUAUUCUGCAGUUAACUGCACAUGCUAAAUGGGAUAUGAGACUUCUUAAGAGUAUAGUUAUGGUGGAAAAACAAGUCUGUUUAAUUUGCAUUAGAAUUAUGCAUUAAAACCUUCACAUCAGCCUUUAUAAAAUAAUAUAAAAACAAAUAUACUAUAAUCUACAGUAGUUGCCUCAAAAAUGUCUGAGCACAGAGCUGACUGAAAUAUUUGUUGCAAAUAAUAAUUGCUAUGAAUGUAGCUUCUUGUUUGGGUAGUGGAUAGUUCAGGAGACAACCCUUAUUUCUGCCAGCGUAUGCAUUAUUCUUGAGAUUUUGCCAAAUAUUCGGGUCUUCAAUGAAAGAUUUUCAGCCAUCAUGAGCUGUUUGAUUUGAUUAUUAUUUGUGUUUUGUGGCUGGUCACUCAAGUCACAUGGUAUAAUUUUGUUUCCUGAUGGUAUGGUUGAAACUCUUCAAGCAGAACAGUGAUGAGCAAGGCGUAAUGAUCGUCCCACGUGUGUUUUGGGUUGCAUACAAAAAGGCCUUUAUUCUCCCAAACUCUGAUAUCUGCUGUAGUGAAGUUUCAAGAGCCUGGAACCUGGGAGGAUCCCCAAAAAGGAGAACUUCAGACGUUAACGGAAGAGAGCCGCCUCAGUCAAUAAGCUAUAAGUGCCUAGCUAAGAAGAACUGCUGUCAUCAGAUGGGAAAAGACCUCCAAGUCCACUUCCUAACAACCUAUUUUAAUAACAAGAGCAAUAACGGGA